Molecule: ribosomal RNA, 450 nt
Filed under: uncultured bacterium
Lineage: Bacteria
Description: bacterial SSU rRNA
Rfam family: Bacterial small subunit ribosomal RNA
Source: RNAcentral
UGGGGAAUCUUGCGCAAUGGACGAAAGUCUGACGCAGCCACGCCGCGUGAGUGAAGAAGGCCUUCGGGUUGUAAAGCUCUGUCGCCCGGGACGAACAGGCGGUCGGUGAAUAGCCGAUCGUUUUGACGGUACCGGGAGAGGAAGCACCGGCUAACUUCGUGCCAGCAGCCGCGGUAAUACGAGGGGUGCAAGCGUUGCUCGGAAUUAUUGGGCGUAAAGGGUAGGUAGGUGGUCUCAUUUGUCUGGGGUGAAAGCCUCGAGCUUAACUCGAGAAGUGCCCUAGAAACGGUGAGACUGGAGUCCUGGAGAGGGUCGUGGAAUUCCCGGUGUAGCGGUGAAAUGCGUAGAGAUCGGGAGGAACACCAGAGGCGAAGGCGGCGACCUGGACAGGUACUGACACUCAACUACGAAAGCGUGGGGAGCAAACAGGAUUAGAUACCCCUGUAGUCC